This is a non-coding RNA of Ciona savignyi (Pacific transparent sea squirt), 83 nucleotides long. The record is from Rfam. Lineage: Eukaryota; Metazoa; Chordata; Ascidiacea; Phlebobranchia; Cionidae.
ACUGGGUUGGCCGAGUGGUUAAGGCGUUGGACUUAAGUUCCAAUGGACAAGUGUCCGCAUGGGUUCGAACCCUACACUCAGUA